RNAcentral lists this unclassified non-coding RNA (294 nucleotides) under uncultured bacterium. Its description in RNAcentral is "partial contains 16S ribosomal RNA and 16S-23S ribosomal RNA intergenic spacer region". It matches the Rfam family "Bacterial small subunit ribosomal RNA", at positions 69 to 357 of the family's 1533-position model. The record is from RNAcentral.
GGCUUUACAGCACACCGUAAAGUCUAGCGGUAAACGGGUGAGUAACACGUAAGAAAUCUACCCUGAAGAGAGGAAUACCCCCGAGAAAUCGGAGUUAAUACCUCAUAAGACCACAGCCCGGCAUCGGGAAGGGGUCAAAGCAGCAAUGCGCUUUGGGAUGAUCUUGCGUCCUAUCAGCUAGUUGGCGGGGUAACGGCCCACCAAGGCUAAGACGGGUAGCCGGCCUGAAAGGGCGAUCGGCCACAAUGUAAUCGCGACACGNUGCAUNCUCCUACGGUAGGUCGAAGUGGAGGU